CAACUACCUGUAAAUGUCACAUAACACCCAAGGAGACUGUGUUACUUAUCUGCUCACCAGUGGGAAGAGAAGAUUGUCUGUCUCAGCUUUGUUAACCAGCUUUCUUGGGAUUUCUCCAUAGGCAAUGGUGGCUUGCUAUCCGGGAAAUGGAACAGGUUAUGUUCGCCACGUGGACAACCCCAACGGUGAUGGUCGCUGCAUCACCUGCAUCUACUAUCUGAACAAGAAUUGGGAUGCCAAGCUACAUGGUGGGAUCCUGCGGAUAUUUCCAGAGGGGAAAUCAUUCAUAGCAGAUGUGGAGCCCAUUUUUGACAGACUCCUGUUCUUCUGGUCAGAUCGUAGGAACCCACACGAAGUGCAGCCUUCUUACGCAACCAGAUAUGCUAUGACUGUCUGGUACUUUGAUGCUGAAGAAAGGGCAGAAGCCAAAAAGAAAUUCAGGAAUUUAACUAGGAAAACUGAAUCUGCCCUCACUGAAGACUGACCGUGCUCUGAAAUCUGCUGGCCUUGUUCAUUUUAGUAACGGUUCCUGAAUUCUCUUAAAUUCUUUGAGAUCCAAAGAUGGCCUCUUCAGUGACAACAAUCUCCCUGCUACUUCUUGCAUCCUUCACAUCCCUGUCUUGUGUGUGGUACUUCAUGUUUUCUUGCCAAGACUGUGUUGAUCUUCAGAUACUCUCUUUGCCAGAUGAAGUUAUUUGCUAACUCCAGAAAUUCCUGCAGACAUCCUACUCGGCCAGCGGUUUACCUGAUAGAUUCGGUAAUACUAUCAAGAGAAGAGCCUAGGAGCACAGCGAGGGAAUGAACCUUACUUGCACUUUAUAUAUACUUCCUGAUUUGAAAGGAGGAGGUUUGAAAAGAAAAAAA
RNAcentral lists this small RNA (864 nucleotides) under Pan troglodytes (chimpanzee). RNAcentral describes it as "retained intron". Lineage: Eukaryota; Metazoa; Chordata; Mammalia; Primates; Hominidae. The record is from RNAcentral.